GCCGGCGAACAUCGUCCACCACCCCCGGUAACGCCGCAUAUCCGCCAACGGCAAACGUCCGCUGGGGCAGCCACAGAUCCUGGCUCAGGAUCCCACAUUUCAUGCAGUCGUGGCUCCAGCCUGUGAGUUUCUCAGCUUUGCUCCUUCUUCAUGGCCUUGAUCCCUGAAGGAAAGUCGGAGGCAGGAGGCUGGACGUCCAGUUGCAGCCCGCCCCUGGUUUUGCUCCCUGGGGCCGCCGUGUUGCCACUCCCGGCCUGAGUUUUCUCGUUGGCGAGGAAGGGCUCAUGCCAGCAGCUCCCUGCUUUCCCUGGCAGCAUGGAGAUCCUGUGGCCAGCCAGAAUCUGAGACCCAGCGCUAAGUGGCCGCAACAGGGCUGCUCCCGCGGAGCUUGCAACCCGGUGUGAGGGCCAGACGGCCGCCGAAUAGUCACCUGGGUGGAAAGCAGCAGCUGGGAGAGGUACCAUGUGGCCCUGAGAGCCCAGCUUGGAGCUUGAUGGAGUCUGGGGCUCAGGGAGGGCUUCCUGGCGGCAGGGUGCCCGAGCGCGCCCGCGUGCCCCCGAGGGAUGGUGAGGGGUGAGGGGUGUGGGCUGGGCAGACGGUGCAUCCCAGCUCCUGGAGGAAGACCAGAGGACUGAACCCGAGGGAGGGGACAGCGCGGGAGGGAAAGAGGCUGGCGGUGGGCAGUGGCCAUCCGUGGCCAGGCGAGCAUCGGGAAAGGUGAGCGGGGAAGCCGGGAAGCGCUGUGUUUAGGCCGGGGGAAAAGGAGGCCUUUGGGAGGUGAGCAGCCCCUGGCUUGUGUCCGGAGCAUUCUACCCCCAUCCCCCCCAGCUGCUGCCGGAGGGGAGUCCCCUGCUCCCUAUUCAUUACCUGGCAUAACUAAUUGCCUGGUGACAUUUCCCAUAUUAUAGACAAAUGUGAAUUAUGGGCCCAGCUGGUCCCCUUCUCGUCACCAGGAAUCGGUUGAUAAAUAUGUUUAUUCGAGGUCAGCCUGGCCUCAUCCAUUAGAAAUAUUGUUUUUCUAAACAUUACAUUGAUUUAAUUUAACUCUAAUCAAUUUAAAAUGGUUCUGACAAUUAACAAAAGCUUCAAAUAUGACCUUAAAGUAAUAGGAUUCAUUAGCUAUGUUUAGGAUUAAACUUACCCUAAUAGGGCGAUUUUUCUUCCGAGGGUAUUUGGUAAGCGACUAGUGGUCAGUCAAAAUGAAAUCAAUUAUUAUAAAUUAUACAGUUAAAGUUGAUUAUGUAUCCCCUGCUAAUUUGUAUAAAUAAGGGUCUCUGACAAUGGGAGUAAUUUAUUAAUAACUAUCUCUGCCCCAGCCCGGUAUCACACUUCAUGUUCCAGCUGCCAGGGCAUCUGUAGCCCGCGAGGUAUUAUUUUCCAGGGCUGCCCUCCAUGUAUGCUAAUUAAACCCAUAAUUAAUUGCAACAGUUAUAGUUAAAGACACAAUGCUGGCGCCCUUUGCCCUAUUAUUCAUGACAGUCGACUCAUUCAAAAGGCAAUCUGAUCAAAAAUUCAUAUGCUAGCUCGGGCGCCCGAGAGCAAGGCGAUCCCCACGACAGCGCCCUACGAAGGCGCCUGCGCAGCCGGGAGGGGCGGCCCAGCCUGCGUCCGCGCGCCUUUCUGGGUUUCCCACGCCGCCACCACGUGCCAAAGCCCCGGCGGAAGGACGUAGAGCCUAGCCUGGCUGGACAGGAUGUCUGGGCCAGAACGCAUGCAUUGCUGGCCCACACAGUGCUUUCAAACGAUGAAAAAGGUCGCUAAAGUUUUACAAACCAGGGACUCUCACUUCUCCUGGAAAUUUCUAACUUUGUUUCAAAAAUCAGAAUAUCUCGACGUGCUUCUCCCCCUGCCUUACCCACACCCACCCUCCUCCUUCCCUGGUGCACCGGCCUGGUCCCUUUAGGCACACGUGAGAGUCCUGGUCUAGACACUUCAUGUCACAGGGAGGGACUGAGGCCCGCAGAAAGACGGGCUUGCCGAGGGGCACAGAGUGGCGCGGCUUGCGUGCGGCUGGCUUCACAGAGCACCCAGGUCAAACUGGGGGCACAAGGGGGGCGGGUCUGCCCAUGAA
Microcebus murinus (gray mouse lemur) is the source of this 2071-nucleotide non-coding RNA. NCBI's taxonomy places the organism in Eukaryota, Metazoa, Chordata, Mammalia, Primates, Cheirogaleidae. The record is from RefSeq and is a predicted model, not a curated record.